Long non-coding RNA from Panicum virgatum (switchgrass), 679 nucleotides. RefSeq lists it as uncharacterized. The record is from RefSeq and is a predicted model, not a curated record. The transcript has 3 exons. NCBI's taxonomy places the organism in Eukaryota, Viridiplantae, Streptophyta, Magnoliopsida, Poales, Poaceae.
UCACUAUUGAAGUCGUCUAACGUGGCCAUCACUUUAAUUUUUUCUCUUGAAGUUCUCAUCUUCCCUUCUUGCAGUAAGCAAGUUUACUCUCUAGAAUAGCUGUCUACCUCCUCCAUGUCAUUCAAGUAAAGGAAGGAACACUGCUUGAACUCUAAUGGCAGAGAUAUCGGUUCUGCAGUUGUCCAAGAGACAGUUAGCCAAAUCCUAUCUGGUCUUGUUCAAAAAUAUGAGAUGAAAGAGGAAUUAAUUUUCAGCAGAAACUUGGAGAGGCUAGAGAUGGCACACAUCAAGAUGGAGGCUGCUCUUGAAACAUCAGAAAAGUGGCAGAUUACUGAUGGAUCCUUGUUGUGUUGGCGUAGGAAGCUCAAGCGUGCUGCUCAAGAGUGUGAUGACAUGCUGCACAAAUGCAAGCUGAGAAUCCUAGAAAAGGAACAGAUGGAACAGGAGGAAAGAAACUACAUCAUAAAAUCAUUCGGGGAAACAAAUAUCCUUCCUGUCAACUAUUGUUGGAGCCCAUCCGUACUUCAAUGGGUGGAACAAAUGUUGUCUUGACAUUUGUGAGGAAUGUUGAGUACUCUAUCCUGCUUGUGAUGAGUGAAUUGUCAACCGUGCGGUGUGAUCGUGCGCUUGAUCUUUGGAUUGCAGGUACACGGGCGUCGAGUGUCGACGGGGAGCUGCC